Gallus gallus (chicken) is the source of this 576-nucleotide long non-coding RNA. The record is from Ensembl. NCBI's taxonomy places the organism in Eukaryota, Metazoa, Chordata, Aves, Galliformes, Phasianidae.
CAUGAACCCACUUGUGAAGUGUUACUGGAGCUGACGAGGUGUAAACGUGACUCGACAAAAAUGAGGUACCUCUGUGUGUACCAAUCUGUGUCUUCAGAUGGUUCAGAUGGCAAGUUCAAAACAUUGAGGAACUUCUUCUGCAAGGUCCUGAGUAAAAGGCAAGGAUGUCUGAGGGAAAAUCUGAGUCAUCGUAAGAGGGAAGAGAUGAAUAAUGUCCACCUUGAACUCUAGACACAGAUGAGAGCUUUCCAACCUGAUGUUGAGUGAAAAAGUCUGUUCCCUUCCUAGAAAAGAAAAAUGAGAGUUUGGGAGAAAAAGUGAAGAAGGAGGAGACAAAAGCUGUCCCCAAGCCGUCUAACUUCUUACUGAACAGUUAUAUCUUCCGGCAUCUUUCAGAGCAACUGGAGUUGCAGUGUCAGAACAUUGCACUAGUAAAUCCUCAGCUUGAUCCAGCAUAGCAUCCCUCUUGCAUUAGAAGCAUGCUGCAGGGCAGGCAGAUUCAUAUGGAUGUUGGUAAUGGUUAGCAACAUUUUGCUCUGUACAUACUUUGCUGCAGGGUCUUGAAUGAGAGCCACA